GGUUGAUCCUGCCAGUAGUCAUACGCUUGUCUCAAAGAUUAAGCCAUGCAUGUCUAAGUAUAAACAAAUUUGUACUGUGAAACUGCGAAUGGCUCAUUAUAUCAGUUAUAGUCUACUCGAUAGUACCUUACUACUUGGAUAACCGUAGUAAUUCUAGAGCUAAUACAUGCAUAAAUACUCAACUGCUUGUCGGGCGAGUAGCAUUUAUUAGAUUGAAACCAAUGCAGCCCUCGGGUUGGUAUUGUGUUGAAUCAUAAUAACUGUGCGGAUCGCGCUUUUGCGCGAUAAAUCG
RNAcentral lists this ribosomal RNA (292 nucleotides) under uncultured eukaryote. Its description in RNAcentral is "partial 18S ribosomal RNA". It matches the Rfam family "Eukaryotic small subunit ribosomal RNA", at positions 6 to 297 of the family's 1831-position model. The record is from RNAcentral.